This 27-nucleotide non-coding RNA is filed under the name Mus musculus (house mouse). Lineage: Eukaryota; Metazoa; Chordata; Mammalia; Rodentia; Muridae. The record is from RNAcentral.
UACAAUGCAGAUGAUGGACUCGCCAAU